Molecule: ribosomal RNA, 946 nt
Filed under: Salmonella enterica subsp. enterica serovar Heidelberg
Lineage: Bacteria; Pseudomonadati; Pseudomonadota; Gammaproteobacteria; Enterobacterales; Enterobacteriaceae
Description: partial 23S ribosomal RNA
Rfam family: Bacterial large subunit ribosomal RNA
Source: RNAcentral
CUGAUGCGUUGUUGGGUAGGGGAGCGUUCUGUAAGCCUGCGAAGGUGACCUGUGAGGGUUGCUGGAGGUAUCAGAAGUGCGAAUGCUGACAUAAGUAACGAUAAAGCGGGUGAAAAGCCCGCUCGCCGGAAGACCAAGGGUUCCUGUCCAACGUUAAUCGGGGCAGGGUGAGUCGACCCCUAAGGCGAGGCCGAAAGGCGUAGUCGAUGGGAAACGGGUUAAUAUUCCCGUACUUGGUGUUACUGCGAAGGGGGGACGGAGAAGGCUAUGUUGGCCGGGCGACGGUUGUCCCGGUUUAAGCGUGUAGGUGUGUGUUCCAGGUAAAUCCGGUUCACUUUAACACUGAGGCGUGACGACGAGGCACUACGGUGCUGAAGCAACAAAUGCCCUGCUUCCAGGAAAAGCCUCUAAGCAUCAGGUAACAUCAAAUCGUACCCCAAACCGACACAGGUGGUCAGGUAGAGAAUACCAAGGCGCUUGAGAGAACUCGGGUGAAGGAACUAGGCAAAAUGGUGCCGUAACUUCGGGAGAAGGCACGCUGACACGUAGGUGAAGUGAUUUACUCAUGGAGCUGAAGUCAGUCGAAGAUACCAGCUGGCUGCAACUGUUUAUUAAAAACACAGCACUGUGCAAACACGAAAGUGGACGUAUACGGUGUGACGCCUGCCCGGUGCCGGAAGGUUAAUUGAUGGGGUCAGCGCAAGCGAAGCUCCUGAUCGAAGCCCCGGUAAACGGCGGCCGUAACUAUAACGGUCCUAAGGUAGCGAAAUUCCUUGUCGGGUAAGUUCCGACCUGCACGAAUGGCGUAAUGAUGGCCAGGCUGUCUCCACCCGAGACUCAGUGAAAUUGAACUCGCUGUGAAGAUGCAGUGUACCCGCGGCAAGACGGAAAGACCCCGUGAACCUUUACUAUAGCUUGACACUGAACAUUGAGCCUUGAUGUGUAG